UUGAUCAGUCCAGGGCCUUCCCUGCCAAGAUACUGGAUUGGAAGUCUUCCCUCCACUCAGCUGAUGAGACUCGAAGUCUCUUCUUGUGACAGAAUGGUCUAGUUUAGCCUUUUGAAGCGUGAAGUCUCUAAGCACGGCCCCACUCAGAAGUGGAUGACUGCAUCCAAGUCACUGGUGGGGAGAGGAGAAUGGACGACGGACGAUGGAUGAUGGGCGAUGGACACUUCACAGUGGCCAGCGAACAGGUCUUACAAAGCUCAAGCUGGCCUCAAAUUCAUCAUGAAGUCAAGGAUGGCAUUAAACGUCUGCUCUUUCUGCCUCCAAGAACCCCCAGGUACCGGGAUGCCAGGGUGGCUACAUCUCAAACUCUCCUGUCAAGUCAGCGCUUUACCAACAUCUUCCCGGUGCAACCAGGACUAGCUUGAACAAGACCUGCUGCUCUCCCUGCUAGGCUGUCUGGACAAUCCUUCCAGAAGAAUCUCCAUGCCCUUCUGACUGAGCACAAUCUCUUCCCCUCCCUCCCUCCACCACAUAUACAGCUGUGUGAAUAGAAGAGCACAUGGUGACCUAAUCGUGCACUCAGGAUGUUCUCAUACUGUUCACACAACCCUUAAUGCACUUUACGAGCCUUCCUUGCAUCUUUCUCCAUCCUCAGUACAUGAACCACAGAGCAUGGUAGAGCAAUGGCUUCAUGGAACCCACCAGGAGAGCUCCUGACUCAGUGUUGCUAACCUCCCAGGAUUCAGUCCCAUUACAGGCCUCAUGCUAAGCGAUCUCAACGCUGACGUUACACGCAAGAAAGGAGACAAAGAGUGUGGAUGUUCACAUCCAAGUCUCAAAAGCCAGAGGCUAUGGCUGUCUUCUGUAAUCCCACAGCACAGCCCUGCUGUAUCACUGGGAAAUUAUGUGCUGGUGUCUCCCUUCAAAUAAAGUUUUAUUGAAACACAAACAUGUUCACUCAUCCCGUGGGCUUUUU
This is a non-coding RNA of Mus caroli (Ryukyu mouse), 976 nucleotides long. The record is from RefSeq and is a predicted model, not a curated record. NCBI's taxonomy places the organism in Eukaryota, Metazoa, Chordata, Mammalia, Rodentia, Muridae.